UAAGAGGUCUAGCCUGCCCAGUGACUAAAAUUCAACGGCCGCGGUAUCCUGACCGCGCGAAGGUAGCGUAAUCACUUGUUUUUUAAAUAAAGACUAGUAUGAAUGGCACCACGAGGAUCAAACUGUCUCCUUUACAUAAUCAGUGAAACUAAUCCCCCCGUGAAAAAGCAGGGAUUAAACUACAAGACGAAAAGACCCUAUGGAGCUUUAAAUACGUAACUAGCACUAGUUAUAAGUUUUAGGUUGGGGUGACCGCGGAGAAAAACAUAUCCUCCAUGACGAAUAAGUUUACUUUAAACAAAAAGUCACAACUUCAUGUAUCAACAAAUUGACAUACUGAUCCAAUAAUCUGAUCAACGAACCAAGUUACCCUAGGGAUAACAGCGCAAUCCACUUUAAGAGUUCAUAUCGACAAGUGGGCUUACGACCUCGAUGUUGGAUCAGGGUAUCCCAGUGGUGCAGCCGCUACUAAAG
Molecule: ribosomal RNA, 474 nt
Filed under: Brachycephalus verrucosus
Lineage: Eukaryota; Metazoa; Chordata; Amphibia; Anura; Brachycephalidae
Description: partial 16S ribosomal RNA
Rfam family: Bacterial large subunit ribosomal RNA
Source: RNAcentral